Molecule: long non-coding RNA, 348 nt
Organism: Oncorhynchus tshawytscha (Chinook salmon)
Lineage: Eukaryota; Metazoa; Chordata; Actinopteri; Salmoniformes; Salmonidae
Source: Ensembl
CGCUGAACACUUGAGGGCAGCAAGAACACAGAACACUGUCCGCAAAUGUUAAUGUGGAAAUCCCUAUGGGAAAUCCACACCUCAAAAUUCAUCUGUAAAAUGUGAUUGAUAAGAUGAACAAAUACUUUCAAUUACAAUUACAUGUAGUGAGUAGGCUUAUAGAAUGUGGUGUCCUCUCACCAUUCCCCAAAUGUUUGACCAGAAAGGUUAUGCCUAAAUGUAGGCAACCUUGCAACGAAAAUGAGUUUCUUUUGGACAAAUUCAGCAAACAAGGAGGUGUAACUGGAGCGGCUGUUGAGUUGAAUGGAGUUCAACAGACCCAAAGUUCCAGGGCCUGUAGAUGGAGCG